GGGUCAACCUGCGGAAACCCGGGUAUCGAAAUCAUCACGGCGGUGCUACCGGACGCCAGAAAUCGUUCACGUUUAACAAACUACUUUCCACCUGUGGGAUAAGCACAAUUGUAGCAUUUGUAGCGUAUUAUGGUUAUCUUGGAUAUUUAGAGACUAGAAUUUCAACUCCUCUGCAAGUAGAUAAGGUAGUCGUCCGUGCAGGGCU
Molecule: long non-coding RNA, 205 nt
Organism: Folsomia candida
Lineage: Eukaryota; Metazoa; Arthropoda; Collembola; Entomobryomorpha; Isotomidae
Exons: 3
Source: RefSeq, a predicted model, not a curated record